RNAcentral lists this ribosomal RNA (425 nucleotides) under uncultured bacterium. RNAcentral describes it as "partial 16S ribosomal RNA". It matches the Rfam family "Bacterial small subunit ribosomal RNA", at positions 354 to 796 of the family's 1533-position model. The record is from RNAcentral.
GUGGGGAAUCUUAGACAAUGGGGGAAACCCUGAUCUAGCCAUGCCGCGUGAGCGAUGAAGGCCUUAGGGUUGUAAAGCUCUUUCAGCUGGGAAGAUAAUGACUGUACCAGCAGAAGAAGCCCCGGCUAACUCCGUGCCAGCAGCCGCGGUAAUACGGAGGGGGCUAGCGUUGUUCGGAAUUACUGGGCGUAAAGCGCACGUAGGCGGACCGGAAAGUCAGAGGUGAAAUCCCAGGGCUCAACCUUGGAACUGCCUUUGAAACUCCUGGUCUUGAGGUCGAGAGAGGUGAGUGGAAUUCCGAGUGUAGAGGUGAAAUUCGUAGAUAUUCGGAGGAACACCAGUGGCGAAGGCGGCUCACUGGCUCGAUACUGACGCUGAGGUGCGAAAGCGUGGGGAGCAAACAGGAUUAGAACCCCGAGUAGUCC